This 468-nucleotide ribosomal RNA is filed under the name uncultured bacterium. Its description in RNAcentral is "partial 16S ribosomal RNA". It matches the Rfam family "Bacterial small subunit ribosomal RNA", at positions 28 to 507 of the family's 1533-position model. The record is from RNAcentral.
GACGAACGCUGGCGGCGUGCUUAAUACAUGCAAGUCGAACGGAAAGGCCCUGCGUUUGUGGGGUGCUCGAUUGGCGCGCGGGUGAGUAACACGCGAGUAACCUGUCCCUGACUUUGGGAUAACUUCACGAAACUGGGGCUCAUAUCGGAGAGGAGCUCUUGCUGCAUGGUGGGGGUUGGUGAGUGUCGGCGGUGGGGGAUGGACUCGCGGCUUAUCGGCUUGUUUGUGGGGUAGUUGCUUACCAAGGCUUUGACGGGUAGCCGGCCUGAGAGGGGUGACGGCCUCAUUGGGACUGCGAUACGGACCAGACUGCUACCGGAGGCAGUAGUGGGGAGUAUUGCACAACGGGGGGGAGCGUGAGACAGAAGCGCCCGGAGCGGGAUGCCGGCCUUCGGGUUAUAAACAGCUUUCGCAUGUGACGAAGCGUGAGUGACGGUAAUGGGUAAAGAAGCACCGGCUAACUACGUG